RNAcentral lists this ribosomal RNA (253 nucleotides) under uncultured bacterium. RNAcentral describes it as "partial 16S ribosomal RNA". It matches the Rfam family "Bacterial small subunit ribosomal RNA", at positions 524 to 776 of the family's 1533-position model. The record is from RNAcentral.
UACGUAGGGAGCAAGCGUUGUCCGGAAUCAUUGGGCGUAAAGCGCGCGUCGGCGGCCCGAUAAGUCCGCUGUAAAAGUCAACGGCUCAACUGUUGAAAGCCGGUGGAUACUGUCGGGCUAGAGUACGGAAGAGGCAAGUGGAAUUCCUGGUGUAGCGGUGGAAUGCGCAGAUAUCAGGAGGAACACCCAUAGCGAAGGCAGCUUGCUGGGACGUUACUGACGCUAAGGCGCGAAAGCGUGGGGAGCGAACAGG